GGAUUGUGGCUCAGUGGUAGAGUGCUUGCCUCCCAUGCAGGAAGCACUGGGUUUGAUCCUCAGCACCA
RNAcentral lists this transfer RNA (68 nucleotides) under Marmota monax (woodchuck). Its description in RNAcentral is "tRNA.Gly". The stretch from base 5 to 65 matches the Rfam family "tRNA", at positions 6 to 65 of the family's 71-position model. Rfam says of the family: Transfer RNA (tRNA) molecules are approximately 80 nucleotides in length. Their secondary structure includes four short double-helical elements and three loops (D, anti-codon, and T loops). Lineage: Eukaryota; Metazoa; Chordata; Mammalia; Rodentia; Sciuridae. The record is from RNAcentral.